UAGCUAGUUGGUAGGGUAAGGGCCUACCAAGGCGACGAUCGGUAGCUGGUCUGAGAGGAUGGCCAGCCACACUGGAACUGAGACACGGUCCAGACUCCUACGGGAGGCAGCAGUGGGGAAUAUUGGACAAUGGGGGCAACCCUGAUCCAGCAAUGCCGCGUGUGUGAAGAAGGCCUGAGGGUUGUAAAGCACUUUCAGUGGGGAGGAGAGGACUUAGGUUAAGAGCUAGAGUUCUGGACGUUACCCACAGAAGAAGCACCGGCUAACUCCGUGCCAGCAGCCGCGGUAAUACGGAGGGUGCGAGCGUUAAUCGGAAUUACUGGGCGUAAAGGGUGCGUAGGUGGUUAGAUAAGUUAUCUGUGAAAUCCCUAGGCUCAACCUGGGCAGGUCAGAUGAUACUGUUUAACUCGAGUAUGGGAGAGGGUAGUGGAAUUUCCGGUGUAGCGGUGAAAUGCGUAGAGAUCGGAAGGAACACCAGUGGCGAAGGCGGCUACCUGGCCUAAUACUGACACUGAGGCACGAAAGCGUGGGGAGCAAACAGGGUUAGGUACCCUGGUAGUCCACGCUGUAAACGAUGUCAACUAGCUGUUGGUUAUAUAAAAAUAAUUAGUGGCGC
Molecule: ribosomal RNA, 616 nt
Filed under: uncultured Legionella sp.
Lineage: Bacteria; Pseudomonadati; Pseudomonadota; Gammaproteobacteria; Legionellales; Legionellaceae
Description: bacterial SSU rRNA
Rfam family: Bacterial small subunit ribosomal RNA
Source: RNAcentral